GACGAACGCUGGCGGCGGGCUUAACACAUGCAAGUCGAACGGAAAGGCCCUGCUUUUGUGGGGUGCUCGAGUGGCGAACGGGUGAGUAACACGUGAGUAACCUGCCCUUGACUUUGGGAUAACUUCAGGAAACUGGGGCUAAUACCGGAUAGGAUCUCCUGCUGGAUGGUGGGGGUGGGAAAUUUUCGGCGGUUGGGGAUGGACUCGCGGCUGAUCAGCUUGUUGGUUGGGUAGUGGCUUACCAAGGCGUUGACGGGUAGCCGGCCUGAGAGGGUGACCGGCCACAUUGGGACUGAGAUACGGACCAGACUCCUACGGGAGGCAGCAGUGGGGAAUAUUGCACAAUGGGCGGAAGCCUGAUGCAGAAACGCCGCGUGCGGGAUGACGGCCUUCGGGUUGUAAACCGCUUUCGCCUGUGACGAAGCGUGAGUGACGGUAAUGGGUAAAGAAGCACCGGCUAACUACGUG
This 468-nucleotide ribosomal RNA is filed under the name uncultured bacterium. RNAcentral describes it as "partial 16S ribosomal RNA". It matches the Rfam family "Bacterial small subunit ribosomal RNA", at positions 28 to 507 of the family's 1533-position model. The record is from RNAcentral.